UAAACUUAAAUUUAAUAAAAAGAAUUUAUUAUAAUAUUUAAAUAUAAUUUAUUAUAAAUUUUAGGCAAAUUUUAUUAUAAUAUUUAAAUAUAAAUAAUAUGUAUUAAUAUAGUACAAUUAAUAAUUUUAUAAUAAAAAUAAUGUAUUAUAAUAUAUAAUAUAUUAUAUUUAUAUAAUUUAGUUUUAAUUCAAUUUAUAAUUUUAAUUAAGUUUGAAAUUAAGUAUUGGAAUAGUGCUAUUCCACUAAAAUGGUGGAAUAGCAAAUCCCUUGCUAUUCCGGAAUAAUCGGGAAUAGCAAGGUUUGACCGGGAUAAAAUAUUCCGGCCAAAUUUCACCCCGUUU
RNAcentral lists this long non-coding RNA (342 nucleotides) under Ananas comosus (pineapple). RNAcentral's name for it is "long non-coding RNA (ACOM_LNC029313)". Lineage: Eukaryota; Viridiplantae; Streptophyta; Magnoliopsida; Poales; Bromeliaceae. The record is from RNAcentral.